Molecule: RNA transcript, 3525 nt
Organism: Daphnia pulicaria
Lineage: Eukaryota; Metazoa; Arthropoda; Branchiopoda; Diplostraca; Daphniidae
Exons: 9
Source: RefSeq, a predicted model, not a curated record
AAAAGAUGCAGACGUUUUUCUUGCACGUGAUUUCCAAGCAGACGUUUAUAGCACAUUUUUGUUUUGUGUGAAAAGUUUAAACUCGGUUGUUGACCGGCUAAAUUAAAUGAAGUCUAUUUUUAUGUAAAUUAACGCUAUGGUGCUGAAUUUCACUUACAGUACCAGGCCAACUUUAACAUGGGGAUCUUUUGCCAUCAGAUUGCCGUAUUUGAAAGUUACUGGUAUAUCACUUUCCAGACCACAAAAGGUGGUUUUGAUAUCGUUGACUGUGGGCGUGGGUUUGGUGGCUGUCCUAUCUCGCUAUUUGAGAAGGAGGAAAAGAAUCAGACCCGCCCAGCCCUCAAGACUGGAUGCUGCUACAUUGAAUCGUAGGCUUCGCUCUGGCUUCAGGAGUCCCAAUGGAGACUUCCUGUCGGAAUUCCAAAGCACCAGCCCUGUUCCCCAGAGAAUACAUCGCACGAGAUCUGCAUCGGUAAACAGCGACCGCUACUCUGUCUCCGAAGGGGCCGACUCCAAAUCAACCCCUCAGCUCCUGGGAACAAUGGGGGUCGAAUCACUGGAAACGGCCAUCAAUUACUGGGAGGAUGCCCUGGCCGCUUAUCAGUCAGUGUCGACGGGAUCGGGUGCCGUUCUGCUGACGUCCGAAGAAGCGGAAUUCUGCCGCAGUUUGGAACGAGUUCUCAAGGCCGCCUAUGUCCUUCAAGACGAGACGGAACACCUCUUCCUGCACGAGCACUCUGUCCUGUUUCAAACGGAAGCGGCGGGCGGCUACACUUCCGGCGCCCAGACGCCCUACUCGCGCACGUCGUACAGUUUCACUUCGGCCGACUCGUUUGUUUCGGCCCUGGGCGGCGAUGACGAAGUGGCCGAUUUGGAGGACUUUGCCGACUUGCCCAUCGACGAUAGUUUGCCCAGUCUCUACCAGGGGUCGAUGAAGCAGCUGGACGAGAGUGGCAUACCCUGCCGGGUGCUCCGGACGGAGCUGGUCGGCUGCCAAUCCGACAUCGAGUACCUGUGCAAAUUGCACUGCAUCCGGCUGGCCUGCCAGGGCGUCUUCCACUUGGCCGGAGCCGAGCAGUGGUUCAUCAAGGCCGGCCGCUCUCUGCUGACGGACAUGCUGACGCUGGCCGACAAGGACCCGCGCGACGUCCUCGAAGCCUACGACGCCAUGAUGGUUUUCGUCCAGGACCAGAGCCAGCGCUUCAAGUUGGCCGCCGAAAUGGAGCACAGAGGCGUCAAGGCCGUCACCUUCUUUGACGUCGUUUUGGAUUUCAUUCUCAUGGACGCCUUUGAGGAUCUGACGGACCCGCCCUCUUCCGUUUUGGCCGUCAUCAAUAACCGAUGGCUCAGCAACGGCUUCAAAGAAGGCGCUUUGGCGACAGCAGUGUGGAGCGUGCUGAAGGCCAAACGGCGGAAGCUGCUCUACCAGGACGGCUUCAUCUCACAUUUUUACGGCAUCAUGGAACACUUGAGCCCCGUUUUGGCUUGGGGCUUCCUGGGACCCGAAUCCGACUUGAAGAAAUCCUGUUUCAUCUUCAAAGGACAUGUCGAGGGCUACCUGCAGGACAUCUUUGAUUUCGAUCGCGUUCGCUACGUCACCGUUGAAGACAUGGCCGAAGAUGUUUGGGCCCUGGCCAGGCAACGCAUCGACGCCGUCAACCGGCAAAUGCCGCGCAGAUGACCGCAGCCGGAAUCGACACACAAUUUUUCCAAUUCAACAAAACCCCCACGCUACUUUUUCACAGAGAAAAAGCAAAGCAAUAAAGCAAAAAAAGAGAUUUUUUUUUAACACGUUAGAAUCAACUGAUGCCAUUAUAUUUAAUGGCCAUCCCUAGAAGUCUCAAAUGUCGACAACUAAGAAAAAAAAACGAUUUUCUGCGAAAAAAAUAUAGUCACCGAUUUGCAAUCAAUCUAAAAUUUUAAAAAGUUUGAAAUUCAACUCGUGUUAAUUGCGGUGCCUAGAUGGCGUUAGGUGUCGACCCGCUUUUGUUUUGACUAAAAAAAAAAUUAUGAUGGGGAGGGGGGGGGGAAUGGUUAACUUAUAUAAUAACACAGCCGGCGUGUGUUAGUCUUGAACUUGAACACGCUCUCUAGUUGAUUGACGCACACGAGAUUACCAUUUAUUUAUUUUUUAUUUUUAUUUUAAACGACUUUUUAUAUUCGUUCAUUUGAUUUUUGAUUUUUUUUUCUUUUAGAAUAUACGCGGGACGGACUGGAUGAUGGAUGACUAUGUCUUCCGGACAGGACAUUUCGUUCCGUUGUCUUGAGAGUGUUCAUUCAAAUCGUUAGGGGGUUGAGAGUUAAUUUGGUUCUUUUUGAGUAGUCGUGUGAUUUCUUUAGCUAUGGGGAGGGGGGGGGGAUAAAGGAAAAAGUUUCCCGCAGGAAUAUACAGGAUGUGUCAAACGCGGCUGAGCAAUCCCUAAAGAAGUUGAUCGUGACGAAAGGAUAUCAAGGAACACACGGAAUGUAUCCAGCCUUCCGGCACUUGUUGUUGGAAAAAGUCUCCUUGGCUGAGGGUCAGACGGUUGGACGUCACGCGCUCGGACUUGAACUCGGCCGUCGGUAAUUGAGGCGCGUGCCUCUCAUACCUGAAGAGACCCAUAACCAUUUACCUCCUGGACCCUGGACUUUAGCUGGGCUACUCCCGUGCAUAAUUCGCCAAUUUGCCAGAGAAUUGUUGAGGACGACGUACACGGGCUGGUACACAUCACGCCCUUUUUUUUUAUUUUUAUUUUAAUCCAUCCUUCCAUCUAUCUCCAGCCGGGGGAGAAAAAUGGCGUCUAUCGUUCAAACCCAAUGGCGAAGGAAGGCCUUCCAUCAUCACGAAAUGUGAAAUGAAAAAACGACCCAACAGAAAAAUGUGUGGCGUAAUAAAAAGGGAGGGGCUGGCGGCCGCACUAGACUCCUUGAUGGAUGGGUAUUAUCGUUCGUAUACUCUCUCUACCCCCACCCGGAGCUGUUUGUCCGAAAUCAACAAGGUAUUGUACUGGCGGAGGGGGUGAACUUCCCAUCUUUGACGUCACAGCUGCGGACCUUCACUUGCACUCCACCACCAUCCUGUCAAAAGUUAUUUAUUUGUGAAACUUGAGCUAGAGUUACUCCGGUCGAGUCCUUUUGGCGUGCCGGAUGGACAUUAGUCGAAUUGAACUUGAAGAGGCCUAGAAGCUAAUCAUACUCUGGGCUGGGGGGGGGGGGGGUUCGUUCGGUUUAUUUGGAUUAUAUUUAUUUGCAAUCGAAUUUCUCGUGACUUGACUGGUCGGCCUGGCCAAAGGAAAACUCCGGUCCGGGUUUGUCGAAAUUUCCGAUCGAGUGAUGUUUUCGUCCAGGAGGUUGUUUCUUUUAUGAUUUGAUGGGAUGCACGAUGACGUCGUCGACGUCGGGAGGAGUUUUAAAGAGAUCGGUAUACUGUCGUCGUCGUCGUGAAAAGUUUUGAAAAUCCACCGGCCGCCGCCGCCGCCGCCGAACGAUGGAGAAAGAAAAGUUUGGCGCCUGGUGUUGGGGCGCAAUCGCGAAACGGCCACGUCC